AGCGAACGCUGGCGGCAGGCUUAACACAUGCAAGUCGAGCGGGCACUUUCGGGUGUCAGCGGCGGACGGGUGCGUAGCGCGUGGGAACGUGCCCUCUGGUUCGGAAUAACUCAGGGAAACUUGAGCUAAUACCGGAUACGCCCUUUUGGGGAAAGGCUUGCUGCCGGAGGAUCGGCCCGCGUCUGAUUAGCUAGUUGGUGAGGUAACGGCUCACCAAGGCGACGAUCAGUAGCUGGUCUGAGAGGAUGAUCAGCCACACUGGGACUGAGACACGGCCCAGACUCCUACGGGAGGCAGCAGUGGGGAAUAUUGGACAAUGGGCGCAAGCCUGAUCCAGCCAUGCCGCGUGAGUGAUGAAGGCCUUAGGGUUGUAAAGCUCUUUUAUCCGGGACGAUAAUGACGGUACCGGAGGAAUAAGCCCCGGCUAACUUCGUG
RNAcentral lists this ribosomal RNA (435 nucleotides) under uncultured bacterium. Its description in RNAcentral is "partial 16S ribosomal RNA". It matches the Rfam family "Bacterial small subunit ribosomal RNA", at positions 29 to 507 of the family's 1533-position model. The record is from RNAcentral.